GCCAUGGUCUGUGUUGACCUCUGCUGACUCAGAAGUGCUUCCACAGAGGCAUCCCUGAAAAGGCUUAGGAUGAGGACAUCAAGAGAACUUCUCCACUGUGGCAAUCAUGAUGAAUUUGAUGACAGUUGCCUGCAUAUUUGAAGACCAGGGAUUUUACUAAAUGAAGGAUGUCAAUGCAAUUGCUCUAGCAGACCAAGUGACUCACUGGUGACCCGCCCUUCCACGCUCCAUCAGAAAAGCACUGCUGCCAUCCACAAAGGAUGGGAGGCCGUGGGCAGAGCUCCCACUUGUGACUUUGUGGAAACUGUAGACAUCCAGAAGAAAAAACAGCAUUUACAGAAGCCCAUCCUCCUCUUCCUCCUCAUUUCUUCUUCCUUCUCAUUUUCUCCUAUUUCCAUAUUUAGGAAGAGGGCAUCUCGUUUCUGAGGAGCGUGGUGACCCAGGAGUGGCAGAACACAUGGAUAUACUCCCUGCUUUGACUGGGGCAGGGAAAUGCAGUGGUGAGGACUCAUUCACUGAGAUCCUGACUGCCAGCCACAUCAUGCUGGAGGUGGGCAAGGACUUGGCUUGGGACCUGGCUUUGUAUCACAAGCUGAAGCUGACAGCUGGGUUUUCCCUUUCUGCAGAAAGAAAGAGAAAAGGAGAAAAGGUGUUGUGUCAUCUGAGAGAGCAUCUCUGUCAUCUCCAGGUGGGAAUGGUGUCCUUUGGCUGCUGCCAGUGCGCUGCAAACCAGCACUAGAGAUAAAGAUUGCCAGAGAGGAAAUUUAUUAGCAACACAUCCUCAAUCAGGCCUCAGUGAAAUAUCUCUGAGAACCAAGUUGCCUGAAUUCCUCUGUCUACAUGGACUGUUCCUGCUCCUUCCAGAACUGAUGUUGUCAGGGGGGUGCUGUGAAGCACCCUGCGCCUCCCAGGUCUUUAUGCUGAGAAUGGCAAUGAUUUAAUGAAGAGGUGCAAAUGGAUAAGGGGUGAGGAGCACCAGAGAGAGAAUGUGCCUGCCUGUGCAUGACCUGCCAUCACCCUGCAGAUGUUCUGUGGCCUCCAUGAAGUAAUGAGCUUGGGAAGCCUACUCCUCUGCAGCUUCUGCUUAGAAGUUUGAUGUCUGUCCCUGUGAACCCUCUGAUAACAGUGGCAUCUAACAGGUGCCUUGCCUGGGGAUAGCAUCUAUCUACAAAAGGCAACAUGAAAAUAAAAGAAAAAUGCCAGUUUGUGAUGUAUCACUCAACUUCUUAAAUCACUGAAAAAUAAUCAGCAGGGAUUCAA
Molecule: long non-coding RNA, 1260 nt
Organism: Zonotrichia leucophrys gambelii
Lineage: Eukaryota; Metazoa; Chordata; Aves; Passeriformes; Passerellidae
Exons: 3
Source: RefSeq, a predicted model, not a curated record